CGUAGGUGGCGAGCGUUGUCCGGAUUUAUUGGGUUUAAAGGGUGCGUAGGCGGCCUCAUAAGUCAGUGCUGAAAUAUUCCGGCUUAACCGGGAGGGUGGCAUUGAUACUGCGGGCUAGAAUACAGAUGAGGUAGGCGGAAUUGACGGUGUAGCGGUGAAAUGCUUAGAUAUCGUCAAGAACACCUAUAGCGAAGGCAGCUUACUAGGCUGUAACUGACGCUGAGGCACGAAAGUGUGGGGAUCAAACAGGAUUAGAUACCCUGGUAGUCCACACUGUAAACGUUGAUUACUCGCUGUGUGCGAUAUACAGUACGCGGCCAAAGCGAAAGCGCUAAGUAAUCCACCUGGGAGUACGCCGGCAACGGUG
This 367-nucleotide ribosomal RNA is filed under the name uncultured organism. RNAcentral's name for it is "bacterial SSU rRNA". It matches the Rfam family "Bacterial small subunit ribosomal RNA", at positions 526 to 896 of the family's 1533-position model. The record is from RNAcentral.